UGAACCUUGAUGAGACAACCGGUGGAGACCCAAAACUAAGUUGUGAAGAAUUAUGUGGCAUUCUUUGUGGCAUUCUUUGUAUUGAAGUUGAAAAGGGGCCCAAGAAUCACCACAGAGAUAGAUUACAGAGCUUAGACAGAAUAAUGACGGCUUGGAAUGCAAAACGAGAACUUGUAGUUUCGUUAAGGAUCUUGCAUGAAAUUUACGAUGGCAUGGUUGGAGUAUUCAUGCCCCCUGGUCAGGCAGUGCAGCCAAUUUUAGAAUUUCUGCAAAAUAUCGUUUUUGUCAAAACGGACAAAAAUGAUCAUGCCACAAUUUGUAUUGUGAAACUUAACGACGACUUCACCCAACUAGUAAAAGAUCUAGUUGAUCUAGAGACAAGCUCGUCAAUGGACACAUUCAGUGAACAUAUAGUUGACAUUGAUGAUGCUUUGAAAAAAGACCCAAACAAGAAAACUAAAGUGAAAGAAUUACACAUUAUAUUUCCGUGUUCAAGAUCCACUGGCAGAACCGUUCAUAGGAGAAACUUUGUGUGUUACCAGCUGAAGAGAGCCAACGAAUUAUAAUAGAGUGGCUGAUGGAUCUUGGUAGAUUACAGAUAUGAUGAAAUUAGUUGUGGCAAACUUCGUGCAUCAUUACUUAGAAUGACAGUCCACAGACAGACUUAUUGUGAAACAAUCAAGAUGUUCUCUUCUCAACAUAUGAUUGCGGUCUUGAACCUGGCAUAAAGUAUAGUAUUGUUAAAUGCAGAUGAUUACUGACAGAGUAGAAUAUUAAUUUCAACAACAAUGACAAAUAGCAGAUGAUGGUAGAAAACUUUUGUUAUGAAUUAGAAGUGAUGUAUAUAAAAGACACAGCUUGCAUGCAAGUUUAAUUUUAGUUAUUGUCAGAUAUAGCAUACACUAUGGAAUGGCACAUUAAUCAAAUUAAGAUGAAACACACAGGCUAACUGAAGAAAAGGAUACCGAUACGAUUUCCUUCUGUACUUUAUGACCAAGACCGACUUGUUUCCAAUUUUCUGCUAUUUCUUUGCUAUUUUAGGAUGGUUCUUGUCAGCAAAAAGUGUUUAAGUUAUUUAUCUACUAGUAUUAGACCUUUCUAACGUAAACGUAAUUACGAAACGGAAUACUGAAUCCGUAAAAUUUUAGACUAAUUUGUGGUCUAGGGGAGACAAUUUCAUCCAAUGGUAAUGCAAUAGUAUCUCCCUUAGACCAUUAUUUGCAAAUAACAUUUAUGGAUUCAGUAAUCUGUUUCCGAUUUACGUUUACGUUAGAAAUGUCUAUUUCAAUCAGUUUUCAUGAUGUACCCUGUCUGAAUCCACGUACUGUUUAUAGAACAAAGCGAAUGUAAAUUGCAAUGAAAUAUAUACUGAAAAGCUUUAAAGCGCAUUCUUUGUGAGGUUCUAUCAAAUAUUUUUGCGACUAUUUUAAGCAAAUUGUUUGAUGCCAAGAUAAACUUAUACAUAUUACGUACAAGUUGUCAUGUUUAGUUUUUAAUCAUUAAUGCUAGAUGAGAUAGCAAGAAAAUAUUGUUUUCCAUCUGCAGUAAAUUUGAUGCGAUACAUGUCAAUAUUUAACAACUGCCGGACCAGAAAAAAAUACUUUCAUUCUUUUAAGAUACAGACUAACUUUUAACUUUUAACUUUCAAGUUUAGAUGUUUACCAAAGAGAUUUUGUUAUGGCAGUCUCGUUUUCGAUUUGGAAAAUAAGGCUCAACUUUCUGGAAUUUUCAAAUGUUUAGUGAUAUUCCAUUGAGGCAGCACUGUAAGCUGGGCAUUGUGCUCACUGCUACAAGAACAUAUCAUAAUUGAAAUGACUGAAAAUUGUUGAAAAAGUCCCUAAACCCAAAAAAACACACAGACUGACUUGUGAAGAUGUACUAUGCCCCAACGAUUACGUGAUGUUUACAAACAUGGUUAUCAAUAGAUUUAAAUGAUGUGUUUCUACUUUUCAUCCCAAAUACAAAUUAGCUCACAGAUAAAACAAACUGUGUAUGCUCUACAAAGCUUUUACCGUAUGGGUUCAGCUACGACAGUUAAUUUCUUUUCAUUUUUGCAUUAAAAAAAAUCGAUUCCUUCAUUUUUCUAUCACAAAACGACAGAGAAAUAUUUGAAGCCAAUAUGACAAAUGAGAAAGUUCAGUGUCAUAUCAAAGAUGUUAUUAGUUAAAUGCAUAUACUAAAGCGAAUAAUGAACAUAAUAUUAUUAUGUUUUAUGUUAUAUAAGGACAAAUAUGCAAAUACAAGCAAUCAAUAUAAGAAACGAAAAAUACGGGAACAGAAAUGAAAGCGAUUAGGGCAAAAAGAUAUAUCAGAAAUCCUUAUGAUAAUUCGAACUCGUACAAAGCGACCUCCUGAUUUUCUGUUGUUAUCUGCAUAUUACCCGACUGGGCUAUUUUGCCGUAUACAAACUGGAGUUUAAAGGAAACGAAUACUGAUAUUUACAUGACAAGCAAUAUGACUUGUUUUUCCGUCAUAAUCUUGUUUUUCUAUUAUCACAAAAUGGACGCGUCCUCGCGUUUGCGCAGGAAUCACGUAAUCGUUGGGGAUUGGUAUGUCUUGAAAACUUUUUCCUUGACUUACUUUUAUUUACACUGUCCCGUGUCUUUGGAACAUGGUGGGGGUAAGAGUGAGGUUGGGUGCGCACCAUAAACCGGUUUAAGCUCCCCAGAGGUGCUUUUGCCACUGACCGUUCCAAGGCGGUACCCCACUGUGUUCCUUUGUUCGUUUUGUCCUCGUGUAUUGGCUUUGUGUGCGAGUAUCUGUGUGUGUAUGUGUUUGUGUUUGUGGUGUGCAGAUCUGCGUGCUGUGGGCUGUGGGUUUCGUUUUGGGGAGGCUGCGUUUUUGGUACGUGGCAUUCCCUGUUUGAUAUUUGUCUUUGUUUUUUUUUUCCAUAAGCAAAAUAAAAUCCAAUGCUACUUCAGACUGUAGUUACCCAGAGUUUAAAUUGUUACUGUACGUUUUAGUAUUUACACAAUUUGCAGGGAUGAACUGCAUGAAAUUGUAAUGUGGUUUAUAAAUAAUGGGCGAUUUCAUACAAAAUGUGCAGAUAAAGCACACAAUACAGGGAUAAAUAGGAACGGCAUAGUUUUACGAGACUUUAAAAACAGCCGCCUUUCCUUCAACAAAGGCAACAUUUUUAGUAAAUAUCAUGUACAUAGUAAAACGUUAUAUGUUAUUAUUGUUAUUAUUAUUAUUAUUAUUAUUAUUUAUUAUUUUAAUCACGCUAUAUAUUUCAUUAUGAUUCCUAUUCUGAUAUACUGACCAGUCACACGCAAUCAUUAAAUUGGUUUUAUGAUAGGUUUACUCUGAAAUUAUCUACAAAAUAAUGUUUAUUAUUGUUACAGUAGACCCUCCCUAAUCCGAACCUCUCUUAUCCGAUAACCUCACUAAACAGAACAAAUAAUGUGGUCCCGAUAUUUUUAUUCGUUUUGUAUUGUAGAAAUACCCCUGUAAUCCGAAACCUCUCUACUCGGAAAACCAAACACAUUUUUGAGAUUUUUGUAUCAAAAUUCCUUAAUAUUGACCCCUCUAAACAGAACUUUUGUUAUGAUUAUUAAUAUUUCUGAUGCCAAUCUUGCUCAUUUUUUUAACCCUUAAAAUAAGUUGGUAUUUUUAGCUUUUAAAAUUCUGUCACCCCAAACCGUUGUGAUCAUAAAUCAUGUCAGAUGCUUGCUUUCCAGAAGCAUGCAGUUAGCACAGGUGUGAAAGACGCAGGUAGUUUGUUUGAGCUGAAAUUUUAAGAAUAGAAAUAGUACUGUCCUUACUUUUUUUGAUUGUUCAUUUAAUCCUUCAAGUGGUUCCGAGGAGGCGUUACUCCUGAUUGUAUGGUCAUAGCAGUGCAUUUUGGAGAAAGAUUGCGAAUCAUGAUGUUAUAUUUCUUGUUUUGCUUCAUUAUAGAAUAUAAAAGCUAGCGACAAAGUCUACGUUAUUUUUAAACAGCCCUUAUAAAACUGGCCAAGGUCCUUCAGUUUAGUUCUAUUUGUGCAAUUCAUUAUUUUCUGUCUAUGUAGUAAAAGUUUUAAUUAAUUAUAUAUUCCUCAUCCCAUUUUUCAGAAGUUAAUAUUUCAUUUAUAGCAAAAAGUAUGUCGGGGCCUCAGUGUGUUGAAUAAAGAGGAUUUCAAUGUUUGUUGUCUAAACGUAUUUGAAAUGAUGACAGUUUCCAUAUAUUUUUAAUCGCAUAUUGUCCUUAAGUGUUUACCUAGCGCUUAAUAUUCUUCUUUUUAGGUUGUUUUCUUUUCGCAAUAAUUGUAUCCUGAAAAUGAUUGAUUCUAACAAAAAAAACCUACAUUGUCAGUGUGGCCAACCUACGUGUCUUCGAAAUCGUACACAUGGAGGGAAAUCAAUCUAUUCAGAUAACAUUUUUGCUUAUAAUUUCUUUAUAACCCGACAGAUUUUGAUACAAUAAAAAACGUCAAAAACAAAAAUAAUGCGUGCUGCUUUCCUAACCAUAAUGCGUCUGCCAGAAAUUCUUGAUACUUUUCUCAAACACUUUGCACAAAUGAGUUUUCAUUGACCACAUGUGUAGAUAACGCACACACUUGAAUUUGGGCAAGGUGUUUGAAGACAGUACUGAUAAAAUCUAGCAUAUGUUUUGUGCAAAGGAAAGCACUCGUUUUUCUGUAUACGACGCUUUUUUAUUUUGUACCAUAUCGAAUGUUCACGUGGGUUUGCAACCGUGGUAGUCAACAGUAAUAUAGAAAAUAUUGAGGAGAUCUAAAAUAAUACCCCUGGUUCACAACUUCAUUUCAAUGGGCAGCAUUGCUAUAAAGUUUCAUGACUCUACAUAGAAGAGGAUUUCUAUUGUUUGUUUCUGGGGUCAACAGGUCAGAGGUCACAUUGACCUUGAUACUGAAGAUGGUUUCUUAGUCAUAACCCAUAUGAAAAUAAUAUUUUAAAUAAAUACAACUGCAGCAAUAAAAUACUAAUUAGAAGUAUAGAUUUGCAGUGUUUAAUUGGUGCAGUAUUUAAUGCUGUACUCCAUAAGAUACUUUUAAGCAAAUGAGAAAGAGUAUAGAAUUGGUAUUGUAACGAAUAUAAUUUUGUCCGAAUAUUAUGACAUAUGGAAACCACUUCUAUACCUGAUACAUUUGGAAACUUAAGAUCUCUUACAUUAAUACUUUUAUAGUAAUUUAUAAGUACCUGCCAUCCUUUAAUCAUUCCAUGAUUACUAAAGACUUCCAAAUUAACUUAAUAUCCGCCAUCAUCUGGGUCCCGUAAUUCUGUUGCGAAAUCAUACGAAAUUAUUCCGAAGUUAAUCGAGUUAAGAUGGCUACAUUGUGACAUCAUAUGGAUAUAUCAUGUGACUCCCCUUGGUACAUAUUUGACAUCAUCUGGAAAUGUCACGUUCUGGUUUUUCUUAUAAAUAGCCCGGAUUAUCUAGGAUAUUCUUCAAUUGUAUUGUCGACUUUAGAGACGCUACCUCUAUCGACAACGACAAACAGAAAGUCUCCAUCUGGAGAGGUAGUAUCCAGAUCUUUUACAAAAACAUUUUUGCACGAUAAAUAAUGUCUUUAAAUGUCAUAAAUCUCUACAAUAAAACAUAUUAACAUGUAAACUACAUCAAAGAAGUAGGCAUUCCCCAUAACUGGAGCGGUUUCCGGAUAUAGCUGUAUAUGUAACCAUAGAUUCAUGUAUGUAUGUAUAACUACUAUGGAUGAUGUUUGUUACAAUGCUUUUGAUGUGAAUAAAUGUGAUGUUUGAAUGUAA
Molecule: long non-coding RNA, 5706 nt
Organism: Mercenaria mercenaria
Lineage: Eukaryota; Metazoa; Mollusca; Bivalvia; Venerida; Veneridae
Exons: 3
Source: RefSeq, a predicted model, not a curated record